RNAcentral lists this ribosomal RNA (336 nucleotides) under Badhamia albescens. RNAcentral describes it as "bacterial SSU rRNA". It matches the Rfam family "Eukaryotic small subunit ribosomal RNA", at positions 80 to 350 of the family's 1831-position model. Lineage: Eukaryota; Evosea; Eumycetozoa; Physariida; Physaraceae. The record is from RNAcentral.
UCUGAAUCUGCGUACGGCUCCGCAUACCAGUUGUAAACCAUAGCGAGCAAAUCGUGUCGGCGUCGCAAGGCGCCUUCGCGGUUAAUAGGGAUAACCCUGGUAAUUCUGAGGCUAAUACAAGAACGUACAACCCGUCCGACCCGCAAGGGAAGGGCGGGGAAUGUGUGACCAGGCACGCAAAUUCGAAACUGGGAGUGGCCACACGUUCAGACCGCCAUACCAAACGGUCGUUCGCUUCGAAAGUCCUCGUGACGAGUAGCGGUGGACUUCUGGGCGGCUCUCGCUGUGUGCUUCUGACCUAUCAACUAGAUGGCAGCGUAACGGACAUGCUAUGGU